AUGCGUUCCCCUCCUCUAUCCCUGACAGACAUCCUUCCACAGCAGCUGCGCACCUCCUUCCUCUUCUCCGGCAGCGCGCGCCUCCUCCCUCUCCUCCAGUCGCGCGCGCCUCCUUCUUCUCCUCCGGUCGCGCGCCGCCUACCUCUCCUCCGGUCGCGUGCCCCUCCUGCACUCUCGCCGAGCCUCUUCACGUCUACAGAAAAAAGGUCCCUCCCUCUUUUCACGCAAUCCCUAAAUCCUUGCUGAAGCUCAAAUCGUCGUCGCACUGCUGGAAGCUCUCAACUCAGGAACAACGGUUCACUGCUGAAGCCCACCGCUAUCGCUGCCGCCGUCGC
Molecule: long non-coding RNA, 335 nt
Organism: Lotus japonicus
Lineage: Eukaryota; Viridiplantae; Streptophyta; Magnoliopsida; Fabales; Fabaceae
Exons: 3
Source: RefSeq, a predicted model, not a curated record